AGUGAAGCCGGAAAAGCUCAAAUUUAAAAUCUGGCGGUCUCUGGCCGUCCGAGUUGUAAUCUAGAGAAGUAAUGCCCGUGCUGGACCGUGUAUAAGUCUCCUGGGAUGGGGCGUCAUAGAGGGUGAGAAUCCCGUCUUUGACACGGACUACCAGUGCAUUGUGGUAUGCUCUCAAAGAGUCGAGUUGUUUGGGAAUGCAGCUCAAAAUGGGUGGUAAAUUCCAUCUAAAGCUAAAUAUUGGCGAGAGACCGAUAGCGAACAAGUACCGUGAGGGAAAGAUGAAAAGAACUUUGGAAAGAGAGUUAAACAGUACGUGAAAUUGCUGAAAGGGAAACGCUUGAAGUCAGUCGCGUUGGCCAGGGAUCAGCCUUGCAUUUGCAUGGUGUACUUUCUGGUUGACGGGUCAGCAUCAAUUUUGACCGCUGGAAAAGGUCCUGGGGAAUGUGGCAGCUCCGGCUGUGUUAUAGCCCCUGGUCGCAUACAGUGGUUGGGAUUGAGGAACUCAGCACGCCGCAAGGCCGGGUUUCGACCACGUCCGUGCUUAGGAUGCUGGCAUAAUGGCUUUAAGCGACCCGUCUUGAAACACGGACCAAGGAGUCUAACAUGCCUGCGAGUAUUUGGGUGGAAAACCCGAGUGCGCAAUGAAAGUGAAAGUUGAGAUCCCUGUCGUGGGGAGCAUCGACGCCCGGACCAGAACUUUUGGGACGGAUCCGCGGUGGAGCAUGUAUGUUGGGACCCGAAAGAUGGUGAACUAUGCCUGAUAGGGUGAAGCCAGAGGAAACUCUGGUGGAGGCUCGUAGCGAUUCUGACGUGCAAAUCGAUCGUC
This 826-nucleotide ribosomal RNA is filed under the name Agaricus duplocingulatus. RNAcentral's name for it is "partial large subunit ribosomal RNA". It matches the Rfam family "Eukaryotic large subunit ribosomal RNA", at positions 92 to 906 of the family's 3401-position model. Lineage: Eukaryota; Fungi; Basidiomycota; Agaricomycetes; Agaricales; Agaricaceae. The record is from RNAcentral.